Molecule: long non-coding RNA, 1213 nt
Organism: Drosophila pseudoobscura
Lineage: Eukaryota; Metazoa; Arthropoda; Insecta; Diptera; Drosophilidae
Exons: 2
Source: RefSeq, a predicted model, not a curated record
GUCGGUAUUGGCUGGGAAGUUUCCUCUUGUAGGUAUCCAUUCUUUCUGGAGCAUCAUCAUUAGCAAAAGAGGCGGGCAAGAAUGUCAAUGGAAUGUAUGGCAUAUUAUUUCCAGUAGAUGUGUCGCACCAUAUAUCAUAUUCCUCAGAACGCUAAACUUUCAGGUGUAAUGACGUAUUUUCCAAAUGAUAAAACUCAAAUCGAUCAUCUAUAGACCUCGUCGUCCUCAUGAUAAAUAUUUUGUUUUUUCAUACGUGGGAAAGUCUAUCCCAGUCACCAGUCGAGCAGCAGAGCUUCAGUAAUGCAAACCACAUAGGACGGCACUGCUAUAGAAAGUUAGCAGCGUUGAUCUGUUAGCGAUCUGGAAUGGCACGACAAUUGAGUAUUGAGUAUUCGGUACCAUUGUGUCGAUUUGUUCCUUAUUGCAUCAGUAAUUUGAAAUUUCCACUAUUCUCGUUGUAACCAGCUACGAUGGCCCACUAGUGUCUACGUAAAUUAUGUUUAUUUCUAGGGAUCUUAAAAAUACAAUCUACAUACACUCCACGACACUUAAAUACGACAUACUAAAAUGUACACUUUAGGCACCAACAUUUCCGGCACAAGCCAAAGAAAACGGUGAAUUUGAAUUUUCCUCAAAUCUCUAUUCAAUUUAGCAUAAAUUAAAAUAAAAUAAAAUAGUAGCAAUAUUCAUCAAAGUAGAUUGAGGAAAAAAAUUUAAUUGACAUAUGUAACUCAAAUUUCCGCUCCCAAAAAAAUGCGACACUUGAAUACGACAUUCACAUUGAACAAUUUUUUAUUUUGGAUGUGGUCGCGACCGGACAUUGAAUAAAUUCUCAAAAAUCAAUUAGGGUGUCCUUAUUACGAGAAAAAAAUUUGGGUUAUGGUAAGUCCUUUUCAAAGGACGAAAACUCCACAAUAAAAGCCUCGAAGGAAGUAGGUCCAUCAAUAAUGAAAAUAAGUGAUGAAAUUGGUAAAACUAGGUGUGUUCUGAGUGAUUUCAUAAAGAACGGGUCAAAUUAUGGCAAAAACAUAAAAAACCGAACCAAAAUUGCUACUUCCGAGACCUCCAUAAGAUCUCAUCUGCGAGCCGCAUCUAAAAAACACGACUAAAACUCGAUUUAAAAAUCUAAAACUGUACUUUUAGCUAGUGCUAAAAUAAUAAAACAUGUUUUUUCGAAGACUCCACACCAUAAGGGACUGUAAUUAAUAAAAAA